This 1093-nucleotide long non-coding RNA is filed under the name Canis lupus familiaris (dog). RNAcentral describes it as "lncRNA (ENSCAFG00000054053.1, ENSCAFG00845030429.1)". Lineage: Eukaryota; Metazoa; Chordata; Mammalia; Carnivora; Canidae. The record is from RNAcentral.
CAAAGAGAUCUCCAGGAGGCAAGGCUGGAGCAGAGACAGGUGGGGCCAAGAGGAAGCCAGAUGAGGAACCUGGGAGGGAAUGAUCAUGUAAAGGCAGUCACUCACCAGGAGCAGGCUGAGACCAUUGUGUGCAUGACCCAAGGAGAGAGCCAAGAGGGACUCCAAGGCUCCUGGCUUCCAAGCUCUGCCCAAGAAGAGCUGUCCUACCCUCAGGAGAGCUUUACUGUAACCAGGCAAUUUAGCCUCCCAAGCAGUUGGACAGGCCCUGGAGAUAAUAAAGAAAGAAGGUAACAGAGUGGAUCUGCAAAGCCUUUAAUACACAGCAUUAAAAGGUGAUCCUAGAGCAAACAGAAGUCUGAGAACCUCAUUUUAUCUGCUAACGUGAAUCUCCUUGGCAAGAUCUCCAGACUAUGUGAUCACUACCAAAGUGACGGGGAGCUCACUCCUCCGCUGACCAGCUCAUGGACCUCUUUGGAGUGAGUUCCUGGUUAAUAAAGUGUCUCCCAGUCUCCUGACUCCCUAGGACAAAUGAGAGGCAGAGGAGGGAAGAAAAGGGAAGUAGGAUCUGGAAGCAGGGAAGAGAGGGAGACUGAGGACGCAGGAGACGACUGAGCCGGGGGCAGAGGAUCGGCCGUCACUGGGGUGAGGAGAAGGGAGCGGUCAGAGCUGGCUCCCUCCCGGUGCAGUCACGCCAGUUAUUAAAGGAAAGAAGAAUGAGUCUCUGUAUCUCGGUGGAGCAGGGCAAGAGUCAUCAGCAGCUGUUAUUAAAAUCCUUUCCUCACCAGUGAAAGACACUUAUCGCUCUUCAUCAGCAAAGCUCUCUCUUUUUGAAAAGGAAAAUCAACUUAACAGGUGGGGACUGUCCUUUCACUCCUCCUGUGAAAGCGUCCAAGGCGGCCUGCCUCCCGACAGCCCCCCAAACUGGUGUGGGGCUCACAGAGCACCCCCAGGUUAGCAGGAGAGAGAUUCUGGGCCCGCAGUGCCUUGGCACUGUAUUCACCAGUGGGACUCUUGCCCACUGCAGGGAAUGUGUGGGUGGCAGCUGUACCUGAUGCAGGGGUGCGGUACAGGGCGGACGGGAUCCCUAAACAAG